AACAUUGGAUAACAAAAUGUUAUUUUAUGAAAACAUUCAAAGGUACAGGAGGAGUGGAAGAGAAGAAACGGAGACCAAGAAACCUACAUUGAAACUAACGCUCACUGCCAACUAAUCCCAAAACAAGAAUACACCCUCUACACUGAUCUUACAGAUGAACAUCAAAUAAGACCAAAGGUGAUAUCUGAUAUGAGAAUGUAUUUGCACAUUAAUAUUAUAUCACUGACAGACUGUAUUUUACACCAGGAUGCAGCCUUUGUGGAUUUCGAAUCCUAUGAAAACUACAUCCCAACAUUUCAGUUGUUCUUACAAACUGUUGUUGAACAAGUUGAUCUUCUCCUGAAAGAAAAUGAUGGUGCAGAGUCUGUGUGGGGUAGACUUGUCUGGCUUUCAGUUUCAACAACAGAAAUCAUCUCUACAGAUAGUGUUUUCCCUCUCUCAGCAUCCGGCCCUCGCCCUGUAGCCCCUCCUGCCAAUCCUCCUACUCUCUCGGGAGAGGACUUCAUGACAAAACACAGAGUGAAACUGGAGGAACGCAUGGGUGAAUUGCAGCCCACACUCCUCAAGCUUCAGGACUGAACGAUGUGGAGCGCUGAGAAGAUUGACAACGUAAGUUCACGGAUCCAGAGGAACAAGGCCCUUCUGGACAUGAUUAUAAGGAAGGGACCUCGUGCCCAGGAACAGCUCUACCGGGCCCUAAAAAAAGAGGACCCUUACCUGGUGGAACACCUGGAAGAGGAGGAGACAUCCUGACCAUAGAUUUGUGUGUAAGGUUAUCCAACAGUUGUGCCAAAAAUGACUACAACAUGUAUAUGGACCAAGAGCCUAGAGAUCAGGACAGUCUUGCUACACAGGUUCACUGGCUGCAAACAGCAAGCUUCAGGAAUUUGCUAUUUAAUGGCGUUAUAUAUGUUUUAAACUCUGUA
Long non-coding RNA from Oncorhynchus masou masou (cherry salmon), 926 nucleotides. RefSeq lists it as uncharacterized. The record is from RefSeq and is a predicted model, not a curated record. The transcript is spliced from 3 exons. NCBI's taxonomy places the organism in Eukaryota, Metazoa, Chordata, Actinopteri, Salmoniformes, Salmonidae.